GUCGANCGGUAAGGCCCUUCGGGGUACACGAGCGGCGAACGGGUGAGUAACACGUGGGUAAUCUGCCCUGCACUCUGGGAUAAGCCCGGGAAACUGGGUCUAAUACCGGAUAUGACCACUUCACGCAUGUGUUGUGGUGGAAAGUUCCGGCGGUGCAGGAUGAACCCGCGGCCUAUCAGCUUGUUGGUGGGGUAAUGGCCUACCAAGGCGACGACGGGUAGCCGGCCUGAGAGGGCGACCGGCCACACUGGGACUGAGACACGGCCCAGACUCCUACGGGAGGCAGCAGUGGGGAAUAUUGCACAAUGGGCGAAAGCCUGAUGCAGCGACGCCGCGUGAGGGAUGACGGCCUUCGGGUUGUAAACCUCUUUCAGCAGGGACGAAGCGCAAGUGACGGUACCUGCAGAAGAAGCACCGGCUAACUACGUGCCAGCAGCCGCGGUAAUACGUAGGGUGCGAGCGUUGUCCGGAAUUAUUGGGCGUAAAGAGCUCGUAGGCGGUUUGUUGCGUCGGCCGUGAAAACCUGGGGCUUAACCCUGGGCCUGCGGUCGAUACGGGCAGACUUGAGUUCGGUAGGGGAGACUGGAAUUCCUGGUGUAGCGGUGAAAUGCGCAGAUAUCAGGAGGAACACCGGUGGCGAANGCGGGUCUCUGGGCCGAUACUGACGCUGANGAGCGAAAGCGUGGGGAGCGAACAGGAUUAGAUACCCUGGUAGUCCACGCCGUNNCGGUGGGUGCUAGGUGUGGGGAACAUUCCACGUUCUCCGUGCCGUANCUAACGCAUUAAGCACCCCGCCUGGGGAGUACNGCCGCAAGGCUAAAACUCAAAGGAAUUGANGGGGGCCCGCACAAGCGGCGGANCAUGUGGNUUAAUUCGAUGCNACGCNAANAACCUUACCUAGNCUUGACAUGGGNCUGGNAACCCGUA
This 927-nucleotide ribosomal RNA is filed under the name Amycolatopsis sp. WAC1369. Its description in RNAcentral is "bacterial SSU rRNA". It matches the Rfam family "Bacterial small subunit ribosomal RNA", at positions 61 to 1004 of the family's 1533-position model. Lineage: Bacteria; Bacillati; Actinomycetota; Actinomycetes; Pseudonocardiales; Pseudonocardiaceae. The record is from RNAcentral.